GACGUUCUCGCCAUAUGUUCGUCACGAUGAGCGGCUGUUUGGUUGGAUUAGCAUUUUUUCGUUUCGAGGGUUUCUCUGGUUCCUCUCCUUCCUGUCGAUCGGCAGUCGACACCAAGGGCGAGAGUGAUGUCGAUCCUUCCGGACGAAAUUUGGAGUAGAAUUCUGGAGAUCGGGACGGAGACAUCUCGAUUGGGCUACCGGGAUCUCUGCUGCCUCUCCAUAUCCUGCCGCCGCCUCCGCCGCCUCUCCCAAGACCACGCCCUCUGGUCCACCCUUUUAGCUAUUGAUUUCCCCCAAGAAGGCCCUUCCUCUCUUCCCCAGACCCCCUCCAAAUCCCUCUACAAAACCAGAUUCGAGAGGGACAAGGCGCGGAGGCAUGCUGUCUGGAGGCGGGCGGUGCUUAAUGCCGAGAGCCAGGUGUUUGUCUGCAGGAAGAAAUUAGAUGACCUGGAGUCUCUUAUGUUGCGAGAGAGUGAGAGGAUGAAGGUAGCGGUGGAGGAAUUGGCGAAUUUUGAGAGAGUUAGCUCUUCCAGGAGGGCAUCUGUGGCUUUGAAUGUAUGGCAGCCGGAAGUUGUUCGUGGGAGCCAAAGACAGAUAGUUGAGCAGUGUACUGUGCCCAUUGAGUCUCGUCUUAGUGCUUUGAAGAUGGAAGCUAGAGUUUGUAAGCAACAAAUUGCGAUUUUUGAGAAGGCCUAUAAUGAGCAGAAGAAGAAGCUUAGUGAGUAUAAGGAAGCACUGAAAUCACUAAAAUAUAACCCUCUACAAAAUAAUCAAAGUGGUGCAACCAGUAGCAGUAGUAAUGCAAAGCGGAAGAAGUUGAAGCGAAGCAAUGAUUGCACAUCUCAUGAUGCUGUACAAAUGACAAUUUUACAGGUUAAUAAUUGAGAUCCAAGCUUUUCGUUUUAACAAAGGAAUCAUGAUAUAUGGGGAAGGGGAAGUGUCUAUCAACCAUAUAUUCUUGAAAUCAAUUAGAGUUCCAAAUGAGCUGGACAAGCAUUGACAUUGCAUCCAAUCUUCCAAUGUGCCAUGGCAAGUUGCGUCAGCUAUUGUGCCUUAAGUUCUUGAUUGCCCUAGGUUUCACCUCUUCAUAGUCUGCAGACUUUGGACUUGUAAAGAUGUUCAGAACUCAAAUUGCCAAAAGAGAUGGGCAAGUUGAUCAGUCUUGAGGCAUUUUCUUCUGCCUAACAUCUUACUUACCUCAAAAGGCUGGCUAUUUGAAACUAUGCCGGUUUAAAUCUUCUUAGCUAGGCAGGAGAUCUAUCUUUAGUGAACCUAUUUAACAUUGCUCUCUCUCUCUCAUUGGUGCUGAGUUACCCUGCCUGCUUGGGCAACAGCUCACCAUCAGAAAUCUCUCAAAAAGAUUUAUGAAGCUGAGCAUGUUGGAUGUGAGUUCUGCAGUCAUGGAGCACUCAGUUUUUUUUUUGGCUGAAGAUAUUAUCUUGUAGCAUAUGAUUAAUUGGAAGAUAUUCAGUGGAGUUAAGAAAGUUGUUUGCAUUAGGCUAUGGGGGUAUCUGAAGGCCGUUUGUGUUGGACUUCUACUUUUAGGGGGCAUCUGAAGGCUUCAUGUCAUUGUGCUGACUUUUCAAUUCAGUGCCAAAUGUGUUAUGUGGAUCUAUCUGUGGGUAAUGAGAUGUUUUACACAUUUUCUUUCAUCUUGUACUCCGCAUGGUGGGAAGGUUUCUGGAGGUAUCAAACCAGACACCACCCCAGAUUUAUAGGAUUAAUUGUCGAUCCAACAAUAAAUGGUAGAAGUAUUGGGUUGUUUAGUCUUU
Non-coding RNA from Phoenix dactylifera (date palm), 1772 nucleotides. Lineage: Eukaryota; Viridiplantae; Streptophyta; Magnoliopsida; Arecales; Arecaceae. The record is from RefSeq and is a predicted model, not a curated record.